UACGGGGGGAGCAAGCGUUGUUCGGAUUUACUGGGCGUAAAGGGCGCGUAGGCGGCCAACUAAGUCACACGUGAAAUCCCCAGGCUUAACCUGGGAACUGCGUGUGAUACUGGAUGGCUUGAAUUCGGGAGAGGGAUGCAGAAUUCCAGGUGUAGCGGUGAAAUGCGUAGAUAUCUGGAGGAAUACCGGUGGCGAAGGCGGCAUCCUGGACCGACAUUGACGCUGAGGCGCGAAAGCUAGGGGAGCAAACGGG
This 253-nucleotide ribosomal RNA is filed under the name uncultured bacterium. RNAcentral describes it as "partial 16S ribosomal RNA". It matches the Rfam family "Bacterial small subunit ribosomal RNA", at positions 524 to 776 of the family's 1533-position model. The record is from RNAcentral.